ACCCGCUGAAUUUAAGCAUAUCAAUAAGCGGAGGAAAAGAAACUAACAAGGAUUCCCCUAGUAACGGCGAGUGAAGUGGGAAAAGCUCAAAUUUAAAAUCUGGUGGUUUUAGUGUAUGAGUUGUGUUAUCUAGAAAUGUGUUAUGCGCUGGAGAACGUAUGAAUCUGUCGUAAAAUGGGGUGUUAUAGAGUGAGAAAAUCGUGUAUGAUAUGGAGUCUAACAGCUUUGUGAUAUAUAUUCUAUGAGAGUAGUUGUGUGGGAAUGUGGAUCACAUAGUGUGUGUAUAUAUCAUAUAUAGAUAUAUAUAUGGGAGAGAGAGAUAUAGAGAAAAUAUAGUGAGAGGAAAGAUAAAAAAGAAUUUGGAAAGAGAAUUAACAGUAGUAUGAUAAUAGNGUAAAGGGAGAAAGCUUGAAAUAAUACGUGCGUGAGGCAGUGCAUCAAGCUUAGUGUAUGUGAGUGUUAAUUCAUGCCAUGAUGGGUCAUCAUGAGUCGGAGUUAGGUGAAAGGAAGGUAGAGAUAUGUGGGUCGUGUGAUUGUGUCAUACUGUAUAAUAAUAGAGAGAGCGUGGAACUGAGUGAGUCACAAGGGAGAUGGAGUCGUAGAAUGCUGCACUUAUGAUGUUAGGCGAAAUGUCUUGAAACGAGGAGUAUUGAAAAUCAGUACUAGGAG
This 669-nucleotide ribosomal RNA is filed under the name uncultured fungus. RNAcentral's name for it is "eukaryotic LSU rRNA". The stretch from base 2 to 341 matches the Rfam family "Eukaryotic large subunit ribosomal RNA", at positions 24 to 358 of the family's 3401-position model. Lineage: Eukaryota; Fungi. The record is from RNAcentral.